CCCUUAGAUGUUCUGGGCUGCACGCGCGCUACACUGAUGCGUUCAACGAGUAUAUAACCUUAUCCGACAGGAUUGGGUAAUCUUUUGAAAACGCAUCGUGAUGGGGAUAGAUUAUUGCAAUUAUUAAUCUUCAACGAGGAAUUCCUAGUAAGUGCGCAUCAUCAGUUCGCACUGAUUACGUCCCUGCCCUUUGUACACACCGCCCGUCGCUCCUACCGAUUGGUUGCUCCGGUGAAUAAUUCGGACGGAUUCACUUGCUGGUUCGCCGGUUUGAGAGUCUGAAAGUCUAGUAAACCUUAGCAACUAGAGGAAGGAGAANUCGUAACA
Molecule: ribosomal RNA, 327 nt
Filed under: uncultured eukaryote
Lineage: Eukaryota
Description: partial 18S ribosomal RNA
Rfam family: Eukaryotic small subunit ribosomal RNA
Source: RNAcentral